This 440-nucleotide ribosomal RNA is filed under the name uncultured bacterium. RNAcentral's name for it is "partial 16S ribosomal RNA". It matches the Rfam family "Bacterial small subunit ribosomal RNA", at positions 338 to 795 of the family's 1533-position model. The record is from RNAcentral.
CCUACGGGCGGCAGCAGUGGGGAAUAUUGGACAAUGGGGGGAACCCUGAUCCAGCGACGCCGCGUGAGUGAUGAAGUAUUUCGGUAUGUAAAGCUCUAUCAGCAGGGAAGAAAAUGACGGUACCUGACUAAGAAGCGCCGGCUAACCACGUGCCAGCAGCCGCGGGAAUACGGAGGGGGCAAGCGUUAUUCGGAUUUACUGGGGGGAAAGGGAGCGUAGGCGGGGCAGCAAGUCUGAUGUGAAAGGUCGGGGCCCAACCCCGGGACUGCAUUGGAAACUGUUGCACUGGCGUAGAGGAGAGGUAAGCGGAAUUCCUGGUGUAGCGGUGAAAUGCGUAGAUAUUAGGCGGAACACCGGUGGCGAAGGCAGCUUACUGGACUGUAACUGACGUUGAGGCUCGAAAGCGUGGGGAGCGAACAGGAUUAGAUACCCUAGUAGUC